AGACAAUGUCAAAACGUCGAAAAAUUAAAAAUUAUUGUGUUUCAAAAUGUAAUUUCUAUGUAAAAUAAUAAAAAAAUGAAACGUCGACACGCCUGCGUGAGUAUACUAUAGUAACACACCAAAAUGUAUGAUAAUUAUAUGGAUAACUUUUUUAAAAAAGUCAACAAAAGCUACGUGACUAGAAAUACAGAUAGUACUGAUUUUGAAUAUCCGACCAAAAUUCCAGCCGUGAGUAUAAAGCAUGGAAAACACCGCCUCUUAGACGGCAUCAAUGGAAAUAAUAACACUCCAAAUAUACAAACGAUAUAUGAGGAUCCAAAGCUUAAAUCAAGUAAAGCAAGAGACAAGAAAUACUUCAAACAUGUAUUGCAAAAAUAUCUUUCAAAAGACCAACUUAUAGAAAUGCAAAGUGGUAAAGAAGAGAGUUUUCAAAAUAAUCGUGGGGACCAUCAAGGUAGUCUUAAUACAAAUUCUAAGUCCUUGCAAGGCAAAGUUCUACCACGUUUGUCUCAUAUUUUUAGACGUCCAAGUUAUUACACAAAGCAAUUGCCAAGUAUAAAAGAAAAUCACAAAAUUGACACUAAUCAAUAUUUAUAUUGUGUUGGAUGUGAACGAAGGCGAAAUAAGAAAAGUCGUAAGGUUAGAGGUUUUGAACAACCUGUUUACAACGUUGAAGGAGAUUUAGUAACUCCAUUUCUUACCAAAAUAUCCACACCGAAAACACAUGUCACGAAAAACCAAUCAUCUGGUACACCUUCUCCUUUAACUUCAUCAGUUGGUUCCAUUGAUAAUUCUUACAAGCAAAGAUCAAUAAUGACUGCUGACGGAGUAGAAAACUAUGAAAUAUUCUACAACCAAACUAAUUUGGAUGGUUCUGAUUAUAAACGACACAAAACUCUACAAUACCCAUCAAUGUAUACCAAACACCUAACACAGGCGAUGAGAAGUACAUGUUGUCAGAUAAAUUAUGGAUCACUUCCGGGAAAAUCUAAUGACCAAAAAGUAAAGCCAUCUUCAUCAUCCAGCUUUUGGAACUUUGUUGCCGAAAAAAUCCAGGCGAAGUACAAAAAGAAAGGCCAGAUUCCUGAUGAUUGUGCGUGUGAAGAGAUACGAAGGCCACCACAAAUUACAAAUCAGAAGCAAGACUUGGCACAUUGCUGUCCUUCAAGUUGUGAAAAAUUUAAAAAUUUCUUAAAAGGCAGUUCCGAUACAUUACAAAGCCCCAAUCGGGCUAGAAUGUCACCUAAUUCAAUGCAAAUGCAAGGUCCUGGCUCAUCAGGUAUAAAGUUGACGAAAUCCCCUGUACCACAUUCGCUAUCAAAGAAUGCAACUUCAUGUCAAUGUAAUUCUAAAGAAUUAAAAACUCAGGAAGCCCCUACGCCAACCUAUAACGAAUGUCAGAAGCCUCACGAUGAAAUAACAACAACCCUAGCUGAAACUUAUAAUGGGGAAAUUCUUUGUAUUCAUAACCCUCCCUGUGUUCUAAUAAAUGGUUGUCUCAAUCUUCCUCCACCAAAACCAUCUGGGCUGAUGAAUAUCUGGCGAUUUACGCAACAUAAGAAAUCCUCCGAGUUCCAAAAAAAUAAAUAUCAAUUUAUAGAACAAGCUUGUCAAUACGAACAGCCCUUAGUCAUACAGGAUUUGUUGCCGGAAUUCCAAACGGAAAAAAUAGUUCAGAGUGUCUGUAACCACAAGCCACCCUGUGAAAUUGUUCGUGGCUGCUAUAAGCCGAAAUUCCACCAAACUUUGAAAGAUUCACGCUCCUGUGUUCACGUACCAAUGUGUCCAAAGUUGCCUGAAUGUUUAUUACGAUACUCCGCUGACGGGCAGGCUCAGUGUCCACAUCGUCCGAGAUGUAGAGAGUUUCCAAUGUGCUCCAAGAAGCUGUUAUUGUUAACUGCAAAAGAAGAUAUGAGUACUCAAGUAAGGCCCAGAUCACGUAUGGUGUGUCGACAUGAUCCGCCAUGUUUAAUGAUACCACGUUGCAUAGCUCGUGUGCUCUGCACUGACGCUGUGCCGUACGACGCAAUUCCAGACUGUGUGCACCAGCCGUUUUGUGAACUCAUCCCGGCAUGUUGCAGGAAGACGGCUAAAGAAAUGGUUUCUGUUUCGUCCCAAUAUCCAAAAACCCCCUGUCGUAUAGUUUAACUCAAGAUAAUAAGCCUUCGCUGACUUCAAACGACGAAGGAGUGUCUAUAAAAGUGCCUCGCAUGCCUCUCCAUCAAAGAAAUCGAUUAAUGAGAUUGAUUAAUAGCAAACGAUGAGUAUGGUAAACAGAAGCCGUCAAGUAUAUGUAAAUGUACGCUAACACACAAUAAAGUUAUAUUACAACAAUUAA
Molecule: RNA transcript, 2338 nt
Organism: Pieris brassicae (large cabbage white)
Lineage: Eukaryota; Metazoa; Arthropoda; Insecta; Lepidoptera; Pieridae
Exons: 3
Source: RefSeq, a predicted model, not a curated record